AUUAAUUGAGGGCAGAAAGGUUCCUGCCACACCUAACUUGAGGCAUUAAUUAAGAUGUCGGUACUAUUUUAUAGUUGUAAAUCUUGCAUUUACAUAGGUAUCUGAGAUGUUGGGUACACCGUCCAACCAAUUAAU
This 135-nucleotide non-coding RNA is filed under the name unclassified sequences. The record is from Rfam.